Molecule: small RNA, 657 nt
Filed under: Pan troglodytes (chimpanzee)
Lineage: Eukaryota; Metazoa; Chordata; Mammalia; Primates; Hominidae
Description: processed transcript
Source: RNAcentral
GUACAAGAGACAUUCUGGCUGUUCUCCUGUACAUUUCCUGCAAAGACCUAAUGAGAUAUGAUUACUCCAUCCUACAGCUUUCACAAUCAACAGUGUCGACAUGAAGAGCCUGCCGGACUGGACGGUGCAAAAUGGGAAGAACCUGACCCUGCAGUGCUUCGCGGAUGUCAGCACCACCUCUCACGUCAAGCCUCAGCACCAGAUGCUGUUCUAUAAGGAUGACGUGCUGUUUUACAACAUCUCCUCCAUGAAGAGCACAGAGAGUUAUUUUAUUCCUGAAGUCCGGAUCUAUGACUCAGGGACAUAUAAAUGUACUGUGAUUGUGAACAACAAAGAGAAAACCACAGCAGAGUACCAGGUGUUGGUGGAAGGUGAGUCCUUGGAACUGAGCACAGGCAAGCAGAUGGAGCAUAGCACACAGUGGCGUGAAUAACAGCUGUGAAUGAAUAGUGACACUGGACUUAACUCUCCACCCAUCACCCUCUCAUUCAUCUGCCUGGCAUUUUCCUUACCUGAAUACGUAAGCACUAGACAUAUUCCCAAUAGGCCAGGCCCUUCCUUCCUUCCUUCCUUCCUUCCUUCCUUCCUUCCUUCCUUCCUUCCUUCCUUCCUUUCUUUCUUUGAUGGAGUCUCACUCUGUCACCCAGUCUGGAGUGC